UACGUAGGGUGCGAGCGUUAAUCGGAUUUACUGGGCGUAAAGCGUGCGCAGGCGGUCCGUUAAGACUGAUGUGAAAUCCCUGGGCUCAACCUAGGAAUUGCGCUUGAGACUGGCGGGCUCGAGUGCGGUAGAGGGGGGUGGAAUUCCUGGUGUAGCAGUGAAAUGCGUAGAGAUCAGGAGGAACACCGAUGGCGAAGGCAGCCCCCUGGGCCUGUACUGACGCUGAUGCACGAAAGCGUGGGGAGCAAACAGG
Molecule: ribosomal RNA, 253 nt
Filed under: uncultured microorganism
Description: partial 16S ribosomal RNA
Rfam family: Bacterial small subunit ribosomal RNA
Source: RNAcentral